This 1371-nucleotide ribosomal RNA is filed under the name uncultured bacterium. RNAcentral's name for it is "bacterial SSU rRNA". It matches the Rfam family "Bacterial small subunit ribosomal RNA", at positions 28 to 1381 of the family's 1533-position model. The record is from RNAcentral.
GAUGAACGCUGGCGGCGUGCCUAAUACAUGCAAGUCGAGCGAACGGACGAGAAGCUUGCUUCUCUGAUGUUAGCGGCGGACGGGUGAGUAACACGUGGAUAACCUACCUAUAAGACUGGGAUAACUUCGGGAAACCGGAGCUAAUACCGGAUAAUAUUUUGAACCGCAUGGUUCAAAAGUGAAAGACGGUCUUGCUGUCACUUAUAGAUGGAUCCGCGCUGCAUUAGCUAGUUGGUAAGGUAACGGCUUACCAAGGCAACGAUGCAUAGCCGACCUGAGAGGGUGAUCGGCCACACUGGAACUGAGACACGGUCCAGACUCCUACGGGAGGCAGCAGUAGGGAAUCUUCCGCAAUGGGCGAAAGCCUGACGGAGCAACGCCGCGUGAGUGAUGAAGGUCUUCGGAUCGUAAAACUCUGUUAUUAGGGAAGAACAUAUGUGUAAGUAACUGUGCACAUCUUGACGGUACCUAAUCAGAAAGCCACGGCUAACUACGUGCCAGCAGCCGCGGUAAUACGUAGGUGGGCAAGCGUAUCCGGAAAUAUUGGGCGUAAAGCGCGCGUAGGCGGUUUUUUAGUCUGAUGUGAAAGCCCACGGCUCAUCCGUGGAGGGUCAUUGGAAACUGGAAAACUUGAGUGCAGAAGAGGAAAGUGGAAUUCCAUGUGUAGCGGUGAAAUGCGCAGAGAUAUGGAGGAACACCAGUGGCGAAGGCGACUUUCUGGUCUGUAACUGACGCUGAUGUGCGAAAGCGUGGGGAUCAAACAGGAUUAGAUACCCUGGUAGUCCACGCCGUAAACGAUGAGUGCUAAGUGUUAGGGGGUUUCCGCCCCUUAGUGCUGCAGCUAACGCAUUAAGCACUCCGCCUGGGGAGUACGACCGCAAGGUUGAAACUCAAAGGAAUUGACGGGGACCCGCACAAGCGGUGGAGCAUGUGGUUUAAUUCGAAGCAACGCGAAGAACCUUACCAAAUCUUGACAUCCUUUGACAACUCUAGAGAUAGAGCUUUCCCCUUCGGGGGACAAAGUGACAGGUGGUGCAUGGUUGUCGUCAGCUCGUGUCGUGAGAUGUUGGGUUAAGUCCCGCAACGAGCGCAACCCUUAAGCUUAGUUGCCAUCAUUAAGUUGGGCACUCUAAGUUGACUGCCGGUGACAAACCGGAGGAAGGUGGGGAUGACGUCAAAUCAUCAUGCCCCUUAUGAUUUGGGCUACACACGUGCUACAAUGGACAAUACAAAGGGCAGCGAAACCGUGAGGUCAAGCAAAUCCCAUAAAGUUGUUCUCAGUUCGGAUUGUAGUCUGCAACUCGACUACAUGAAGCUGGAAUCGCUAGUAAUCGUAGAUCAGCAUGCUACGGUGAAUACGUUCCCGGGUCU